Haliotis rubra (blacklip abalone) is the source of this 630-nucleotide long non-coding RNA. RefSeq lists it as uncharacterized. The record is from RefSeq and is a predicted model, not a curated record. The transcript has 3 exons. Lineage: Eukaryota; Metazoa; Mollusca; Gastropoda; Lepetellida; Haliotidae.
UUAUGUUGAACGAUUAAUGUUUCGAUAUUGUCACAGCUUCAUUGGAACUUGCGAGUGGUGACACCCAAAGUGUUUUUACAUAUAUACAUUUGAAAUUGGCAAUGACAUUGAUGGGAAGAUUGGCAGAGAAGCAGGUCAUCUCCAUCUCACUGUGAGCAUCAACAACUUCUGGAAGGAUGACAAUGCAGGUGCAACGUUGUUACUGAGAACCUCCACCAGGAGAACAUAACCACUUUACCAUGGUCAGCACGACAGUCCAGACUUGUCACCCAUACACCAUGUCUGGGAUAUCCUUGGACACCAUCAAAACCACCGACCACUCUCAUGGAACUAGGUGCUACCCUGCAGAAACAAUGGGAUACAAUGAUCCAAGCGGACAUUCAGCAUUUGAAUGAAUCCGUGAUUGUCUGGAGAAUAGAGGCGGAUUCAUGUCAUAUUAAUGAGUUUGACUUUUUAUGGUAAAUGAUGUGAUGAACGGCAGGACACUUUGGCCAAUCAUCUAACAAAAUCUAUGGUCAUGUGAUCUUCAACAAUUAAUUCAAAUCUGUGUCAGAUGUCCCUGUUACACUUUUGAAAUUUUUAUGUCAUCAAUUAUAUAAAAUAUCAAUAGUUCUGACACUUUUUUGAAUA